AACGAACGCUGGCGGCAUGCCUAACACAUGCAAGUCGAACGAGACCUUCGGGCCUAGUGGCGCACGUGUGCGUAACGCGUGGGAACCUGCCCUUAGGUUCGGAAUAACUCCCCGAAAGGGGUGCUAAUACCGGAUAAUGUCUUCGGACCAAAGAUUUAUCGCCUUUGGAUGGGCCCGCGUUGGAUUAGCUAGUUGGUAGGGUAAAAGCCUACCAAGGCGACGAUCCAUAGCUGGUCUGAGAGGAUGAUCAGCCACACUGGGACUGAGACACGGCCCAGACUCCUACGGGAGGGAGCAGUGGGGAAUAUUGGACAAUGGGCGAAAGCCUGAUCCAGCAAUGCCGCGUGAGUGAUGAAGGCCUUAGGGUUGUAAAGCUCUUUUACCCGGGAUGAUAAUGACAGUACCGGGAGAAUAAGCUCCGGCUAACUCCGUG
This 433-nucleotide ribosomal RNA is filed under the name uncultured bacterium. Its description in RNAcentral is "partial 16S ribosomal RNA". It matches the Rfam family "Bacterial small subunit ribosomal RNA", at positions 29 to 507 of the family's 1533-position model. The record is from RNAcentral.